Molecule: long non-coding RNA, 748 nt
Filed under: Mytilus galloprovincialis (Mediterranean mussel)
Lineage: Eukaryota; Metazoa; Mollusca; Bivalvia; Mytilida; Mytilidae
Source: RNAcentral
GUCUGAAUAAUUGAUUACUAUUUAAUAUGUUUAGGGAUUUCGACAAAUUAGAUUAAUGCAAAAAAUCAAAACUUCUCAUUAUAACUCUUGUAUUGAAAAAUAAAUCAUCAGUUUAUCAAAAAAAAAUCAAAACUGAUACCAGACUUGCUAACAGGCGGACAGCAAAAUGCGCAAAUCCAUAAUCUGAUACCUGUUGCUGUUUUUUUUUUAAUGCUUAUAAUAAAUCUUUAAUCCUUAAAACUAUAGUUGACUAAAUACCAAAAAUAGGUUAACACAUAAACUGUGUAUUAAUUAUUUCCAAUUGUUAAUGAGGGGCAAUAGGAUGGUAUGUCAUCCCAAAAUUCUUGAAAAAAAUAAAGGAUACUUGCUUGGAUCCGGAAAAAACUAAUCAUUAAUUUUAAAUCUGCUACCCGGGUUAUUCAGUGUGCAUCACAUUUUUUUAUGUUAUUUCUUCAUAGACAGAAAAAAUAUUAGUCAUUCCUGAAAUAAAUGAAAAUCCCAAUUCCUGUGAAAAAUAGAGACAUAAUCCCGAAUUCCUGCAAAACAAACGCCCAAACUUGAUGUCCUCAAUAAGGUCCCUCCACCCCUCAUUAAUGACUUAUAUUAAGCAGUGUAUCUUUAAUGUUACACAAUGUAUUCAGUAGGCACAGUUCUUAAGAUAGAUAAUUUUAAGUAUUUUUUACUGAAAUUUCUAUUUAUUUUAGUACCAUUUCUCAGUACUUGUAAUCAGAAUUUGUGUGAAUGCAAC